RNAcentral lists this long non-coding RNA (406 nucleotides) under Bos mutus (wild yak). Its description in RNAcentral is "lncRNA (ENSBMUG00000001544.1)". Lineage: Eukaryota; Metazoa; Chordata; Mammalia; Artiodactyla; Bovidae. The record is from RNAcentral.
UUGUGAUAUUCUUUUCUUGUAGGCUGUCCAAGUAAUGAUUGGCCUGAUCAACGGUGCUCUGGGACGUAUCUGGCUACUUUUUUAUACCAGACAAUUUGAAGAACUUUCCGUAGAGUAUAAGCCUAUAGCCUUGCUAUCAGGAUACCCAUUUUGGACAUUCUUGUUUUUUAUCAUAUCAGGAGUUUUAACAAUACAAACAGAGAAGAAGCGUUCCCCAAAUUUGAAAACUGCAAUGAUUCUUUCUGUGUAUUUGUGGAUAUUCUCCAUCAUGGAAUUGAUCAUAGCAAGGAAAGUGAUCAAAUGGGGGAAUGAAGCGUUUUAUCGUCACAGAUAUGUAACACGUCUUGACCCUCUUUCGGAGAGCUGGUUUAUGGGAAGGAGAGAACCAACAGACCGUGGAAUGUGA